GGUGAACGCUGGCGGCGUGCCUAAUACAUGCAAGUCGAGCGAACGGACGAGAAGCUUGCUUCUCUGAUGUUAGCGGCGGACGGGUGAGUAACACGUGGAUAACCUACCUAUAAGACUGGGAUAACUUCGGGAAACCGGAGCUAAUACCGGAUAAUAUUUUGAACCGCAUGGUUCAAAAGUGAAAGACGGUCUUGCUGUCACUUAUAGAUGGAUCCGCGCUGCAUUAGCUAGUUGGUAAGGUAACGGCUUACCAAGGCAACGAUGCAUAGCCGACCUGAGAGGGUGAUCGGCCACACUGGAACUGAGACACGGUCCAGACUCCUACGGGAGGCAACAGUAGGGAAUCUUCCGCAAUGGGCGAAAGCCUGACGGAGCAACGCCGCGUGAGUGAUGAAGGUCUUCGGAUCGUAAAACUCUGUUAUUAGGGAAGAACAUAUGUGUAAGUAACUGUGCACAUCUUGACGGUACCUAAUCAGAAAGCCACGGCUAACUACGUG
Molecule: ribosomal RNA, 497 nt
Filed under: uncultured bacterium
Lineage: Bacteria
Description: partial 16S ribosomal RNA
Rfam family: Bacterial small subunit ribosomal RNA
Source: RNAcentral